Molecule: ribosomal RNA, 1172 nt
Filed under: uncultured Rozellomycota
Lineage: Eukaryota; Fungi; Rozellomycota
Description: SSU rRNA
Rfam family: Eukaryotic small subunit ribosomal RNA
Source: RNAcentral
UAAAUAACAAUGCAGGCCUUUGGGUUUUGCAAUUGGAAUGAGAACAAUUUAAAUCCCUUAACGAGUAACAAUUGGAGGGCAAGUCUGGUGCCAGCAGCCGCGGUAAUUCCAGCUCCAAUAGCGUAUAUUAAAGUUGCUGCAGUUAAAAAGCUCGUAGUUGAACUUUUGGUGAGGCGCUGUGGUUUAGAGAUUCUAGACUGCAGUGCUGAGCCUCUUUUGGGGGAAGCGUCACUUGUGGCGUCGAACCCGUGUUACUGUGAGGAAAUUAGAGUGUUUAAGGCAGGCGAUCGCUUGAAUACAUUAGCAUGGAAUAACAAGAUAGGACUUGGUUCCACUUGUUGGUUUGGGAGCCAGAGUAAUGAUUAAUAGGGCCAGUUGGGGGCAUUAGUAUUCAGCAGUCAGAGGUGAAAUUCUUGGAUUUGCUGAAGACUAACUAGUGCGAAAGCAUUUGCCAAGGAUGUUUUCAUUAAUCAAGAACGAAAGUUAGGGGAUCGAAGACGAUCAGAUACCGUCGUAGUCUUAACUAUAAACGAUGCCGACUCGGGAUCGGCAGGAUUCGUUCGCGAACCUGUCGGCACCGUGUGAGAAAUCAAAGUUUUUGGGUUCUGGGGGAGUAUGGUCGCAAGGCUGAAACUUAAAGGAAUUGACGGAAGGGCACCACCAGGAGUGGAGCCUGCGGCUUAAUUUGACUCAACACGGGAAAACUCACCAGGUCCGGACAUAGUAAGGAUUGACAGAUUGAGAGCUCUUUCUUGAUUCUGUGGGUGGUGGUGCAUGGCCGUUCUUAGUUGGUGGAGUGAUUUGUCUGGUUAAUUCCGAUAACGAACGAGACCUUAACCUGCUAACUAGUGCGCAUUACGUGAGUAGUGCGAAACUUCUUAGAGGGACUGACUAUGUUUAAUAGUCGGAAGUUUGAGGCAAUAACAGGUCUGUGAUGCCCUUAGAUGUUCUGGGCUGCACGCGCGCUACACUGACAAAGGCAGCGAGUAUACCUUGGCCGAGAGGUCUGGGAAAUCUUGUUAAACUUUGUCGUGCUGGGGAUAGAUCAUUGCAAUUAUUGGUCUUGAACGAGGAAUUCCUAGUAAGCGCAAGUCAUCAGCUUGCGUUGAUUACGUCCCUGCCCUUUGUACACACCGCCCGUCGCUACUACCGAUUGAAUGGCUUAGUGAGGC